This 253-nucleotide ribosomal RNA is filed under the name uncultured bacterium. RNAcentral describes it as "partial 16S ribosomal RNA". It matches the Rfam family "Bacterial small subunit ribosomal RNA", at positions 524 to 776 of the family's 1533-position model. The record is from RNAcentral.
UACAGAGGUCCCAAGCGUUGUUCGGAAUCACUGGGCGUAAAGGGUGCGUAGGCGGCGCGGAAAGUCAGGGGUGAAAUCCCGGAGCUCAACUCCGGAACUGCCUUUGAUACUCCCGCGCUUGAGAACUGGAGGGGAGACCGGAAUUCACGGUGGAGCAGUGAAAUGCGUGGAUAUCGUGAGGAACACUAGUGGCGAAGGCGGGUCUCUGGACAGUAUCUGACGCUGAGGCACGAAGGCCAGGGGAGCGAACGGG